GGACUACCCGGGUUUCUAAUCCCGUUUGCUCCCCUAGCUUUCGCGCCUCAGCGUCAGAAGAGGUCCAGCACGUCGCUUUCGCCACCGGCGUUCCUUCUGAUAUCAACGCAUUUCACCGCUCCACCAGAAGUUCCACAUGCCCCUACCUCCCUCGAGCUUAUCAGUAUCAAGGGCACUUUUCCGGUUAAGCCGAAAGAUUUCACCCCUGACUUGAUAAGCCGCCUACGCGCCCUUUAAGCCCAGUGAUUCCGAACAACGUUCGCUCGGUUCGUCUUACCGCGGCUGCUGGCAC
Molecule: ribosomal RNA, 292 nt
Filed under: uncultured Planctomycetota bacterium
Lineage: Bacteria; Pseudomonadati; Planctomycetota
Description: uncultured planctomycete partial 16S ribosomal RNA
Source: RNAcentral